CUUGGCCAGGGAUAUCCACCAACUCCUGAAGUUUGCAAUGCAAUGCUGAGCUUCUUGGGUGGAAGAAAGUCAUUACCACAUGGAGCUCACCUCCUGCCUGCCAGACAUCCUGUCCCAGCCCAGAGAAUACAGCUAAGUCACUAUUACCCAGACUCAACCAACUAGAUACAGUACUCCUGCCCC
Molecule: long non-coding RNA, 183 nt
Filed under: Fukomys damarensis (Damara mole-rat)
Lineage: Eukaryota; Metazoa; Chordata; Mammalia; Rodentia; Bathyergidae
Description: lncRNA (ENSFDAG00000028243.1)
Source: RNAcentral